Non-coding RNA from Megalopta genalis, 996 nucleotides. The record is from RefSeq and is a predicted model, not a curated record. NCBI's taxonomy places the organism in Eukaryota, Metazoa, Arthropoda, Insecta, Hymenoptera, Halictidae.
AGAGGACAGAAUUACUUUAUCGUCGACUACUUUAUCCAGUUCGGCGUAAACCUUCAAUUUCAAUGGUAGGUUUUCAGGUACGCAUUCUUGAAUUAGCUUAGCUCCCUUUACAGUUUCGGCCAAAUCGGAUGAUCCUGUUUAUUCAUAUUUCAACGUUUAAUUAAAUAUCAGAUGGAUACGAUAUAUACAUAUACUUAUCGAAGUCUUAUGGAUCAUAAAUGACAAGCGAACCUUUAAUUAACUUAAAUUGUUGGUCCGCGGUAAGCGUGCCUCUCAAAAGACUGCCACUUUCAAGACGUUUCAAUUGCUGUUGGACGUCUUCAAGAGCCUUCGUAAUUUGUUCUUUUACAAUAUCGUAAAUUAUUACUUCGUAUCCUACACUGGCAAAAAGCAUAGCCCAGCUGCGACCAAUUAGACCGCUAAAAUAGAAAUUAAAACAAUUAUUUUCAUCAUAUAAUAAAAUUUGUUAAAACGCUCAAAAAUGUAUUUUAAAAUAGAUCAAGUGAUGUAAUUCUCCAGUGUUUAUCAUUAAACUUUUCCGUAGCUAUCUAUCUUAUCUUAGAUGAACUACUCUUAAGUUAUCGCUAAUAAAAUGAACAAUCAAAUAAAAAUUUUGGCUUGCAUGUAAAUGUAAUUUCACAAACAUACUUUUCAGUGAAUAAUAUCUAAUAGAAACCGACCACAGUAGUGGUCAACAAAUGAUAAAUAAGAUGAAUAAGCUUUAUUAAGAACGAUAUAUUAUAAUAUCAUAACGGCAGUACUAAUUAUCGAAGAACAUCAUCUAUUAAUUAAUCCGAUACAUUGUACAUUCACUAUUACAAUUAUGCAUAAAGAAACUUUCAUCGAGAUAGAUGGAUAGAUAAACUUGAGGCUCGACCACGAUUAUACGUACGUACUCGUACGUGCUUGCACUAGCUGUACAUACUCAUACAUACGUAUAUACUUAAACUACUUAAAACAGAUAUGUAUCGAUUAUCGAACAAGUAAUAAAGGAAA